Long non-coding RNA from Sorex araneus (European shrew), 492 nucleotides. RefSeq lists it as uncharacterized. The transcript is spliced from 3 exons. The record is from RefSeq and is a predicted model, not a curated record. Lineage: Eukaryota; Metazoa; Chordata; Mammalia; Eulipotyphla; Soricidae.
ACUCACAGUGGGAACCAGAGUGUCUGUAAGAUGAAUUCCAGGUCCAUAGCAACUGCAAUGCUCUGGGAUCUAAACAGAUCUUUAGGCAGGCCAUGCAAGGAGCCCUUCUGGGUAGAAGACAGCAAGAGGCAGACGGUCUGCCUCUCUCCUGCACACAGACCGACCAUGCAAAUAGGUUCUUGGGUUUUGUUUUUGUUUGGCUUUUAGCUCAGAAUCGCCAUCGCUCCCAGUGGAGACAAAAAGGCUUGGGGAGCUUCCGCUCCGCGUUGGCUGUCCAAGAAAUUUUCUUCACCCGACUCCCACCUCCUCCCGGCCAGGCAUUGAGAAGAAGGAGAGGUGAUAAGAAAAUAGCCUUGAUCUACAGUUUAGUAGGAAGACAAUAGAUUUGGAGAACCAACAGAUGAAAGAUCAAAUCUUCACUCCAUAUAAAUUCAGUACUACCUACUCAAUAGGAAUCACUCUGGUGAGUUUGGGGAACCAUAUGAGGUGCCG